CGGGUGAGUAAUGCCUAGGAAUCUGCCUGGUAGUGGGGGAUAACGUUCGGAAACGGACGCUAAUACCGCAUACGUCCUACGGGAGAAAGCAGGGGACCUUCGGGCCUUGCGCUAUCAGAUGAGCCUAGGUCGGAUUAGCUAGUUGGUGGGGUAAUGGCUCACCAAGGCGACGAUCCGUAACUGGUCUGAGAGGAUGAUCAGUCACACUGGAACUGAGACACGGUCCAGACUCCUACGGGAGGCAGCAGUGGGGAAUAUUGGACAAUGGGCGAAAGCCUGAUCCAGCCAUGCCGCGUGUGUGAAGAAGGUCUUCGGAUUGUAAAGCACUUUAAGUUGGGAGGAAGGGCAGUAAAUUAAUACUUUGCUGUUUUGACGUUACCGACAGAAUAAGCACCGGCUAACUCUGUGCC
Molecule: ribosomal RNA, 410 nt
Filed under: Pseudomonas sp.
Lineage: Bacteria; Pseudomonadati; Pseudomonadota; Gammaproteobacteria; Pseudomonadales; Pseudomonadaceae
Description: bacterial SSU rRNA
Rfam family: Bacterial small subunit ribosomal RNA
Source: RNAcentral